RNAcentral lists this non-coding RNA (29 nucleotides) under Bombyx mori (domestic silkworm). The record is from RNAcentral. Lineage: Eukaryota; Metazoa; Arthropoda; Insecta; Lepidoptera; Bombycidae.
UGAUAGUCGGUGCACUACCAAGACGUGAA